RNAcentral lists this ribosomal RNA (508 nucleotides) under Phycisphaerales bacterium. RNAcentral describes it as "partial 23S ribosomal RNA". It matches the Rfam family "Bacterial large subunit ribosomal RNA", at positions 886 to 1395 of the family's 2925-position model. The record is from RNAcentral. Lineage: Bacteria; Pseudomonadati; Planctomycetota; Phycisphaerae; Phycisphaerales.
AUGUUCAGUCAUGGAGGUAGAGCACUGGAUGGGUUAGGGGGCCUACAAGCUUACCAACCCCAGCCAAACUCCGAAUGCCAUGACUCCAGAGUGCGGCAGUGAGUCCUCGGGGGAUGAGCUUCGAUGGACGAAAGGGAAACAGCCCAGACCGCCGACUAAGGCCCCAAAGUUCUGACUAAGUGGUAAACGAAGUGGGAUUGCACAGACAGCCAGGAUGUUGGCUUAGAAGCAGCCACCAUUGAAAGAGUGCGUAACAGCUCACUGGUCAAGUGGUCCCGCGCGGAAAAUGUAACGGGGCUCAAGUCAGACGCCGAAGUCGCGGACUUCUGCUUGCAGGAGUGGUAGCGGAGCGUCGAGUUCGGAGCGAAGCGGCGGUGUAAACCGACGUGGACCGGGCUCGAGUGAGAAUGUUGGUAUGAGUAGCGAGAGAGGGGUGAGAAACCCCUCCGCCGGAAGUCCAAGGGUUCCUGGGGAAGGCUAAUCCUCCCAGGGUGAGUCGGGAGCUAAG